GACGAACGCUGGCGGCGGGCUUAACACAUGCAAGUCGAACGGAAAGGCCCUGCUUUUGUGGGGUUCUCGAUUGGCGAACGCGUGAGGAACACGUAAGUAACCGGCCCUUGACUUUGGUAUAACUUCAGGAAACGAGAGCUAAGACCAUAUAGGAUCUCCUGCUGCAGUGUGGGCGUGGGAAAUUUGCGGCUUGUGGGGAUGGACUCGCGGCUUAUCAACUUGUUUGUUGGGGAGUGGAUUACCAAGGAUUUGACGGGUAGCCGGCCUGGGAGCGUGACCGGCCACCUUGGGACUGAGAUAGGGCACAGACUCGUAUGGGGGGCAGCAGGGGGGAAUAUUGCACAAUGGGAGGACGUCUGAUGAAGAAACGCCGCGUGUGGGAAGACGGUUUUCGGGUUGUAAAAAGCUUUAGCCUGUGACGAAGCGUGAGUGACGGUAAUGGGUAAAGAAGCACCGGCUAACUACGUG
RNAcentral lists this ribosomal RNA (468 nucleotides) under uncultured bacterium. RNAcentral describes it as "partial 16S ribosomal RNA". It matches the Rfam family "Bacterial small subunit ribosomal RNA", at positions 28 to 507 of the family's 1533-position model. The record is from RNAcentral.